Bombyx mori (domestic silkworm) is the source of this 1314-nucleotide long non-coding RNA. RefSeq lists it as uncharacterized. Lineage: Eukaryota; Metazoa; Arthropoda; Insecta; Lepidoptera; Bombycidae. The record is from RefSeq and is a predicted model, not a curated record. The transcript is spliced from 2 exons.
UUCACUGACUAUUUUCUAAAUAUUAAAGAAAAUAUUUACACUCUGUGGACGGAAUUGUGGAAGAAAGAUCAGGAAAACAAGGGAAAGUGGUAUGGAAGUAUCCAAGAUAACCUGCCUGUUAAACCAUGGUAUGACAAAUUGAAAACUAGUGAAAGUCGAGAUUUCAUCACAACAAUAAACAGAUUGAGAUUUGGCCAUAAUACUGCGCCGUCACACCUAGCAAGACUUGGCAUUGUUUCAAAUAACCAAUGUAUACACUGUCAAGCAGAAGAAGGGACGAUCCAUCACAUUAUUUUCGAUUGCCAAAGUUUCAUAAUUCAAAGACUUGUGCUGGCUAGUGAACUUAGUGAUACCAAUGCAUUUAAGUGUGUCUCUUCCUCCCGCCCGCCGCCACUUAACUUUUUACUAAAAGAUCCAACAUCCUAUAAACCAAUUUAUAAUUACAUAAAAAAUACAAUUCAAACAAUUUAAAUGACAAAAUUUAGUGAAGUGAAGUGUAGUGACCCCAAAGCAAUGAACAUUUUCCAAAUAAGAUAUGACCUAAAGGUCUCUGUCACCAGGUCAUAAAAUUAAAAAAAAAAAAAAAAAAAAUACAAUGAUUCACAGACUAACAAAUUAAUUGUACUACGUAGGCAAUACUUAAGUUUUAGCCAUGUGCAAUUAGAUUCGCCUAGAGACAAGAGUGAAGUAAUUUUAGGGAUAGUAUUAAACCAAGAAGUGAAAUUAUGUAGGUAAUGGAAAAUAGCAAGGAAGAACAGUGAUGUAACGAAAUCUAUUUUUUUUGUGAACAUUAUAUACCUAAAACCGCAAACAAAUGUAGUAAGUAACCCACCGAUUAGAAGACCGUUAUAAUUGAAUUUGGCUGAAAUGAUUUGCUCCUCUGACCAUUGGGGAUCGUGGUUUGCGUCAUCCUUGAAGAACGUCUCUUGUUUUGGAGGAGUGAACCUGAAGCCUUCUGGUACACCAGGAUUUCUUUUUAGGAAAGAGCCAGUUGCAAGGCGGCGGGUAACCCAUUCAAUGGGGAUCAUCUCACAUUUUUUGGAUAAGAACGCAGUUUCAGAGGCAAUCUUAACGAAGGCAGUUUUGAUUCCUGAAAUGGUGAUUAUAUUUGUAAGGUUCUAAGCAUUCAUCGCUACAGGGGGCAAUAGGAGUGUAAGCAGAGCAACGUGGACUCUAAAACAUUCCCUACACUCAAAAUCACGCACGCACACAGAUUAUAUUUUUAGAGUAAAAGAUAUACUAAAUAAAAAAGAUAUACUAUGUUCAUGCUUCUGUAACAAUUUAAAGGUGAGAUUAAAAAAAGGUUCAACAAUA